GAUGAACGCUGGCGGCGUGCCUAAUACAUGCAAGUCGAGCGAACAGACGAGGAGCUUGCUCCUUUGACGUUAGCGGCGGACGGGUGAGUAACACGUGGAUAACCUACCUAUAAGACUGGGAUAACUUCGGGAAACCGGAGCUAAUACCGGAUAACAUGUUGAACCGCAUGGUUCAACAGUGAAAGACGGUCUUGCUGUCACUUAUAGAUGGAUCCGCGCCGCAUUAGCUAGUUGGUAAGGUAACGGCUUACCAAGGCAACGAUGCGUAGCCGACCUGAGGGGGUGAUCGGCCACACUGGAACUGAGACACGGUCCAGACUCCGACGGGAGGCAGCAGUAGGGAAUCUUCCGCAAUGGGCGAAAGCCUGACGGAGCAACGCCGCGUGAGUGAAGAAGGUCUUCGGAUCGUAAAACUCUGUUAUUAGGGAAGAACAAAUGUGUAAGUAACGAUGCACGUCUUGACGGUACCUAAGCAGAAAGCCACGGCUAACUACGG
RNAcentral lists this ribosomal RNA (496 nucleotides) under uncultured bacterium. RNAcentral describes it as "partial 16S ribosomal RNA". It matches the Rfam family "Bacterial small subunit ribosomal RNA", at positions 28 to 506 of the family's 1533-position model. The record is from RNAcentral.